CUUAGUGGCGGACGGGUGAGUAACGCGUGGGUAACCUGCCUUACACAGGGGGAUAACACUUAGAAAUAGGUGCUAAUACCGCAUAAGCGCACAGUCCCGCAUGGGACAGAGUGAAAAACAUUAGUGGUGUAAGAUGGACCCGCGUCUGAUUAGCUUGUUGGCGGGGUAACGGCCCACCAAGGCGACGAUCAGUAGCCGGCCUGAGAGGGUGGACGGCCACAUUGGGACUGAGACACGGCCCAAACUCCUACGGGAGGCAGCAGUGGGGGAUAUUGGACAAUGGGGGAAACCCUGAUCCAGCGACGCCGCGUGAGUGAAGAAGUAUUUCGGUAUGUAAAGCUCUAUCAGCAGGGAAGAAAGAAAUGACGGUACCUGAGUAAGAAGCCCCGGCUAACUACGUGCCAGCAGCCGCGGUAAUACGUAGGGGGCAAGCGUUAUCCGGAAUUACUGGGUGUAAAGGGAGCGUAGACGGUAAUGCAAGUCUGGAGUGAAAGGCGGGGGCCCAACCCCCGGACUGCUCUGGAAA
This 526-nucleotide ribosomal RNA is filed under the name uncultured bacterium. Its description in RNAcentral is "bacterial SSU rRNA". It matches the Rfam family "Bacterial small subunit ribosomal RNA", at positions 91 to 632 of the family's 1533-position model. The record is from RNAcentral.